This 468-nucleotide ribosomal RNA is filed under the name uncultured bacterium. Its description in RNAcentral is "partial 16S ribosomal RNA". It matches the Rfam family "Bacterial small subunit ribosomal RNA", at positions 28 to 507 of the family's 1533-position model. The record is from RNAcentral.
GACGAACGCUGGCGGCGUGCUUAACACAUGCAAGUCGAACGGAAAGGCCCUGCUUUUUUGGGGUUCUCGAGUCGCGAACGGGUGAGUAACACAGGAGUAACCUUCCCUGGACUUUGUGAUAACUUCAGGCAACUGGGGCUAAUACCUGAGAGGUGCUCCUGCUGCAGGGUGGGGUUUGGACAUUUUCGGCUGUUGUGGAUGGACUCGCGGCUUAUCAGCUGGUGGGUGGGGUAGUCGCUUACCAAGGCUUUGGUGGGUAGCCGGCACGAGAGGGUGACCGGCGACAUGGGUCCUGAGGUAGGGCGCAGACUGGUACGUGGGGCAGUAGUGGGAAAUCUUGCACAAUCAGGCGAAGCCUGAUGAGAAAACGCCGCGAGCGUAAAGACGGCCUUCUGGUUGUAAACCGCUUUAGGCUGUUACGAAGCGUGAGUGACGGUAAUGGGUAAAGAAGCACCGGCUAACUACGUG